RNAcentral lists this long non-coding RNA (949 nucleotides) under Capsicum annuum. RNAcentral's name for it is "long non-coding RNA (CANN_LNC002451)". Lineage: Eukaryota; Viridiplantae; Streptophyta; Magnoliopsida; Solanales; Solanaceae. The record is from RNAcentral.
CCCGACCUCCCAUUUUUGCUUCUUUUCAUCUCUCUCAAAAUUCCAACCACCACCGCCUGCCGCCGCUGGAGCAGACAACUAAAUGACCAUUGAUCUCCCUAACCAGCUCUUCUCUCUCCCCAUAUCCCUCUAUUUGGGGAACGCCGCCUUCCACCGAUGAUGCCACUAGUCCGUCGAACCAAUGAAAACCAACGCCCCGCACCACUGGCCGGCGAAAUCAACCGGCGAACCCCACUGCUCUAGCCGCGCUGCCUCUUCACCUAAAACCCUUCAUAUCUCCUCCUUACACCGCUGCCAGCUACCACUAGACAAUGAAACCAAGCCGCCAACAAAACUAGCCGCGCCUUCCGCCUCUUCUCCCUCACGCCGCCACUCCAAACUCUGUCUAAUUAACACCGAAAAAGAGUAAAGUCCAUGAUGAAUUCUCAGAAUCUGUCCUUGGUUUGUUGAUUUGUUUCAGUUUCCUUCUUCUACUCUUUUUUCUUCUCACUGAUUUUUAGAUUCGAAAUAGGCAUAGUUUGGCUUUGAAUUUUGAGUUGAUUCUUAAUAUUUCAUGUUUGUUUAUGUAUUUAGAUCUACAUACAUAAAAAAAGCCCAAUUUCUUUGAACUUCCAUUAAUCCUAGAUUUCUCUAAAUUUAGGACUGAUUUUCUAGAACUUGCUAUUCUGUCUCAAUUUCGUGAGUUUGUUCUUUAAUUUCAUAAGAUUCAAAAUUCGUGGACAUCUAUUAAUGGUUCCCUUCUAGAAUUUACGAAUUCUCGUUCCUUGAUAUUUUUAUAUUGUUAUGUGAAUUAUUCUGGUCCUUUGAUACAUUUGAUACAUUUGAAUUAGUUGUUUAGUUUCUUACACUUCACAUAUUUUCAAAUACAUCUUGAUCAGUUUGUUUCACUUUAAUUCUUUCUGAAUUAGAAUCACAGUGAGAGUGUGACUGGCUCUGAAUACCGCUUAUG